GAACUGCGAUAAGUGAUGUGAAUUGCAGAAUUCAGUGAAUCAUCGAAUCUUUGAACGCACAUUGCGCCCGCCAGUAUUCUGGCGGGCAUGCCUGUUCGAGCGUCAUUACAACCCUCAGGCCCCCGGGCCUGGCGUUGGGGAUCGGCGGAAGCCCCCUGCGGGCACAACGCCGUCCCCCAAAUACAGUGGCGGUCCCGCCGCAGCUUCCAUUGCGUAGUAGCUAACACCUCGCAACUGGAGAGCGGCGCGGCCACGCCGUAAAACACCCAACUUCUGAAUGUUGACCUCGAAUCAGGUAGGAAUACCCGCUGAACUUAAGC
Molecule: unclassified non-coding RNA, 320 nt
Filed under: plant metagenome
Description: partial contains 5.8S ribosomal RNA, internal transcribed spacer 2, and large subunit ribosomal RNA
Rfam family: 5.8S ribosomal RNA (bases 1-105)
Source: RNAcentral